UCAAAUUCUUAUCUAAUCUUCUAAUAUCUUAAUCAUGAUUAGAGAGAGAAAAAUUGCAAGCAGCUAAUGUCAUGGAGAAAGAUUUAAUUCGAUUCAAAAAUUUUCGUCUGUACAUGGUAUGAAGGUAAAAGCCCUUCGUUUAGAACCCUUCAAGGGGCAUUUGUUGGUAACAAUGGCUUUGGGGCAGGACAGAGGAUGAGGAGCAACUACUACUGCUUAGAGAUGUUAUCAGAGCGUCCUCCAUCUGAACGGACAUGUCUCUUUGCACAAGUGAGACGAUGUAGUCCAGCACCGUAGAAUCACAAGGAAAUGUAAUCGCACCAUCAAUGUUCAGUCCGAAUUCUUCUUCUGCCAUCUUCAACAGCUCCUGGAAGAUUGGCCGUUGGAGGCAGGCGAGGGGAACCAUGUAUCUUUUGCCAUCGGAUGCGAUUGCGAUGAAGGUGAUCGAGAUCGAAAACUAUCUCAGAAUUGUAGUCGUCUAUUGGAAGGGUAGUUGAUCUAUGGUAUUGAGUGCUUAGCUCCCUUGGUGUUGAUGAGAAACUCAAGCCUCUUGUGUAUGUAUAUAUAAGUACAAUGGCAAUGAAGUUGGUUUGGCCUUCAUUACAUGCAAAGCAAGUGGGAUUUGAGAGGCAUGUGAUCAGAGGCCCUACCAAGCAGACAUGGAAAUGGGUCUGUUGUUUCUCGUCAUAGCCGAAACACAUGCUAUAUGCGUAUUUCAUCCUACAACUGGUGGGCUCAUUAUACAAGCGAGUCCGGUCAUGUCUGCAGUCUUGUAUACGGUGGCUUCAUUGAUGUUCUGAAUGGUGGAAGUUCCUCAUUAAUCAGUUAUGGUACUCAACAUCUGGGCCGCCUUCUGUCUGAUAGUGUUUUGAACUUUGAAGUUAUAAAUGAUUGUUUUGUUGUUUAA
Molecule: long non-coding RNA, 907 nt
Organism: Nymphaea colorata (pocket water lily)
Lineage: Eukaryota; Viridiplantae; Streptophyta; Magnoliopsida; Nymphaeales; Nymphaeaceae
Exons: 2
Source: RefSeq, a predicted model, not a curated record